ACGCUGGCGGCGUGCCUAAUACAUGCAAGUCGAACGCUGGAGAUCUAGCUUGCUAGAUCGAAGGAGUGGCGAACGGGUGAGUAAUACAUAAGCAACCUACCCACGAAGACUGGGAUAAUCUCUGGAAACGGGGACUAAUACCGGAUAGGUAAUCGGAAGGCAUCUUCUGGUUAUUAAAGGUUAAAAACACUGGUGGAUGGGCUUAUGGCGCAUUAGUUAGUUGGUGAGGUAACGGCCCACCAAGACGAUGAUGCGUAGCCGGCCUGAGAGGGUGAACGGCCACAUUGGGACUGAGACACGGCCCAGACUCCUACGGGAGGCAGCAGUAGGGAAUUUUCGGCAAUGGGGGAAACCCUGGCCGAGCAACGCCGCGUGAGUGAUGACGGCCUUCGGGUUGUAAAGCUCUGUUGUAAGGGAAGAACGGUAGAUAGAGAAUAUCUAAGUGACGGUACCUUACCAGAAAGCCACGGCUAACUACGUGCCAGCAGCCGCGGUAAUACGUAGGUGGCGAGCGUUAUCCGGAAUUAUUGGGCGUAAAGGGUGCGUAGGCGGCCUGUUAAGUAAGUGGUUAAAUUGUUGGGCUCAACCCAAUCCAGCCACUUAAACUGGCAGGCUAGAGUAUUGGAGAGGCAAGUGGAAUUCCAUGUGUAGCGGUAAAAUGCGUAGAUAUAUGGAGGAACACCAGUGGCGAAGGCGGCUUGCUAGCCAAAGACUGACGCUCAUGCACGAAAGCGUGGGGAGCAAAUAGGAUUAGAUACCCUAGUAGUCCACGCCGUAAACGAUGAAUACUAAGUAUUGGGGAAACUCAGUGCUGCACUAACGCAAUAAGUAUUCCGCCUGUGGAGUAUGCACGCAAGUGUGAAACAUAAAGGAAUUGACGGGGGCCCGCACAAGCGGUGGAGUAUG
Molecule: ribosomal RNA, 906 nt
Filed under: uncultured bacterium
Lineage: Bacteria
Description: bacterial SSU rRNA
Rfam family: Bacterial small subunit ribosomal RNA
Source: RNAcentral